GAUGAACGCUGGCGGCGUGCCUAAUACAUGCAAGUCGAGCGAACGGACGAGAAGCUUGCUUCUCUGAUGUUAGCGGCGGACGGGUGAGUAACACGUGGAUAACCUACCUAUAAGACUGGGAUAACUUCGGGAAACCGGAGCUAAUACCGGAUGAUAUUUUGAACCGCAUGGUUCAAAAGUGAAAGACGGUCUUGCUGUCACUUAUAGAUGGAUCCGCGCUGCAUUAGCUAGUUGGUAAGGUAACGGCUUACCAAGGCAACGAUGCAUAGACGACCUGAGAGGGUGAUCGGCCACACUGGAACUGAGACACGGUCCAGACUCCUACGGGAGGCAGCAGUAGGGAAUCUUCCGCAAUGGGCGAAAGCCUGACGGAGCAACGCCGCGUGAGUGAUGAAGGUCUUCGGACCGUAAAACUCUGUUAUUAGGGAAGAACAUAUGUGUAAGUAACUGUGCACAUCUUGACGGUACCUAAUCAGAAAGCCACGGCUAACUACGUG
Molecule: ribosomal RNA, 497 nt
Filed under: uncultured bacterium
Lineage: Bacteria
Description: partial 16S ribosomal RNA
Rfam family: Bacterial small subunit ribosomal RNA
Source: RNAcentral